GUUUCUGUAGUGUAGUGGUUAUCACGUUCGCGAAAGGUCCCCGGUUCGAAACCGGGCAGAAACA
This 64-nucleotide transfer RNA is filed under the name Anolis carolinensis (green anole). RNAcentral's name for it is "tRNA-Und (NNN) (tRNA-Und-NNN-1-1)". It matches the Rfam family "tRNA". From Rfam's summary of the family: Transfer RNA (tRNA) molecules are approximately 80 nucleotides in length. Their secondary structure includes four short double-helical elements and three loops (D, anti-codon, and T loops). The record is from RNAcentral. Lineage: Eukaryota; Metazoa; Chordata; Lepidosauria; Squamata; Anolidae.